This 412-nucleotide unclassified non-coding RNA is filed under the name uncultured Cortinarius. Its description in RNAcentral is "sequence contains ITS2". The stretch from base 1 to 154 matches the Rfam family "5.8S ribosomal RNA". Lineage: Eukaryota; Fungi; Basidiomycota; Agaricomycetes; Agaricales; Cortinariaceae. The record is from RNAcentral.
AACUUUUAGCAAUGGAUCACUUGGCUCUCGCAUCGAUGAAGAACGCAGCGAAAUGCGAUAAGUAAUGUGAAUUGCAGAAUUCAGUGAAUGAUCGAAUCUUUGAACGCACCUUGCGCUCCUUGGUAUUCCGAGGAGCAUGCCUGUUUGAGUGUCAUUAAUAGAAUCUCAACCCCUUUUUCUUUUUGUUGAAGGGUUUUGGAUGUGGGGGUUUGCUGGCCUUCUUAAAGAGGGUUCAGCUCCCCUGAAAUGCAUUAGCAGAAACGACCUUGCUCAUUGGUGUGAUAACUAUCAACGCUUAUGAAUGUGAGGGGCAGUUCAGCUUUCUAACCGUCUUUGGACAAUUCAUCAUUAAUGUGACCUCAAAUCAGGUAGGACUACCCGCUGAACUUAAGCAUAUCAAUAAGCGGAGGCU